CAGUCGCCGCGGGAACACAGAGGGUGCGAGCGUUAAUCGGAUUUACUGGGCGUAAAGCGUGCGUAGGCGGCUUUUUAAGUCGGAUGUGAAAUCCCUGAGCUUAACUUAGGAAUUGCAUUCGAUACUGGGAAGCUAGAGUAUGGGAGAGGAUGGUAGAAUUCCAGGUGUAGCGGUGAAAUGCGUAGAGAUCUGGAGGAAUACCGAUGGCGAAGGCAGCCAUCUGGCCUAAUACUGACGCUGAGGUACGAAAGCAUGGGGAGCAAACAGGAUUAGAGACCCCAGUAGUCCCUGUCUCUUAUAA
RNAcentral lists this ribosomal RNA (301 nucleotides) under uncultured bacterium. Its description in RNAcentral is "partial 16S ribosomal RNA". It matches the Rfam family "Bacterial small subunit ribosomal RNA", at positions 509 to 809 of the family's 1533-position model. The record is from RNAcentral.